CACCUUCUCUCAUUCAUUUUUAUCGAUGAAUCUUUGGCAGGGACGGGUCCAAUGGUUGCUGAGGGCAAGGUCGAAACAAAGGAGACGUCAAGGACUUGUGAGUCUUUGAGCACGAAAUUCAAGGGACCUUGCAUCCGAUCAAGCAACUGUGCAAAUAUUUGCGAAGAAGAAGGCUUCAAGGGAGGCAAAUGUGUUGGCUUCAGGCUGAGAUGUACGUGCACUAAGAAUUGUUAGUGAUAUAACACACAAACUUAUUUUGGUGCAUGGGAUUGAGAUGAAUGAAAAUUUUUUACCCUUUUUUUCGUUUUGUUUAAGAGAAUAAAUGACUAACCCUAAUAUAAAUUUUGGGGUUGUGUCUGUGUUUUUGUUCUUAUGCGCUAACAGUGCGUGAGUUAUUUUGUAAUCAAUAAAAUCAAAAAAUAAUAUCGUUCAUUUCUUAAUGUAAUGAUACUUUUUUUCUCUCUACACAAAUGUACUCUUUCUAGCAUUACUUUAAACUUUUUACCAAUGCGUAAUGUUGAUUAUACUAUUUGUAACUUUAGGGGCUGCUUUUGUUAGUUUUUAGAGGCCAUGAACCAACUCUCACUCACCUCAAGCCACAGAUAUGCGAAACGUAAUUGAUCCAAAUUAGUUAUAUGUACAACAAUGGAAACUUUCAUAUCCACAUCACUAAUUGACUUAAUAUGGCGCACAAAACUCUUUUUUUUUUGUUUUUUUUUUUUUGUUUUUGUGGAGAAAUUUUAGGAUUGCAUUUAUAAUUUAGUCAAAAAAAAGCCACUAGCUAUAAAGGGCCAUUACAAUAACGGAGCGGUCUAACAUCAAAAUUAAAACAAUCUGGUCCGCCUCCACUAACAAUCACUUAGGAUCGAAGAAACUCUGGCAUAGGCAUCCCAAUUAAGAUUGCAAACUCAGAAUAAUCAAACAGAGUUAAAGCUUGAAAAAAUCAAGCCAUAACAAUACAAAUAAAACUCUCACAAAGGAGAGAUGAAAAGCUCUCACAAAAGAGAGAUGAUAAUCUCUCACAAAUGAGAGGUGAAAAGCUCUCACAAAAGGAGAGCUGAAAACUACACAGACAACCCAGAGAGUUUCUGUGACUUAUUUCGAACAUAAAGAAACCGCAAAGAAGAUGGUGGUGGAGAUCCGAUGCCGAAAUGCAUGUGGCGAUCCAACGCCGAGACGCAGUCACCUGUGAUGGUUGGAGGAAAAUCAUAACAAAACGAAGACAAACAGGGAAAACCUUUUGUCUCUGAAUAUGAGGGAAGAGAAGAGAGGGAGGAAGAGAAGAGGGGAGAGAGGAGGAAGAAUAGUGGCUUCCUCCCUCGUCAAAGUGAACUUGUCAUUUUCUUAUUGGUUCUUAGUGUGUUAAAAUUUUAUAAGAAGAAAUUAGUCAUUAGAAAAUGAUAAGUGACUAUUUUGGGUUAAAGCCCUUUUUUCUUUUUCUAUUUUGGGAUUUAACUACAACGAUCCUCGAACUUAUACGAGUUCACAUUUAGUUAAUUCAGUAUAAUAAUUAAAAAAAUUGUUUGUUUUUUAAAGAUUAUUGUAUCCAAAUUAUUAGUUUUACCCCUCAGUUUUACCAAAUUUGAAAAAAUAACUAAAUUGAAACAUGCACGAGAUCUGAAGGACCAAAAUAAAACUAGAUAUAAAUUUAGGGAUCAUUGCAGUUAAAAAAACCUUUGAAUUUUACUAGCAAAAUGAAAAGCCAAAAGAAUAAUUACGAAAAAUAUAUAUAUAAAGAUUAUGCAUGUGAUAUUUCUAGUUAGGUGGUCACUGCACGUAGUGGAUUAGAUUCCACAUUGAAUAUCCAUAUCAAUUGGUAAUUAUCUUUUGUCAAGACAAUAGAAAAUGAUUUAAUUUUUACAAUAGUUCUUGCAUGCUAAUCAAUUACCAUAUCCGAAUAAAAUGACAUAAUAUAUUCUUGCUGGCGACUUAUAGUUUGCAUUCAUGUUUGUAAUGGACUCGACUCACAAAGAUUCAGAAGCUUUUUAAACCAAAAGGAAAAUGAAGAAAUAGAAGGAAAUCUUGUAUAGGAACAUGAUUGUUUUGGCAUAAAGUUUAGGUUGGAGGCUAUGAUUUCAGCAACUUCCUUUUGUUACCAACAAAUACAGAAAUACAGAAAAGGGUGGGGGAAAGUAAUUAAAGGAGGCAUUUCAAAAUAAUAGUGCUUUUAAAAUAUAUAUAUAUAUAUAUAUAUAUCAAGGGGCAAGUCCAUUUAAAUAAUGCUUGAAUAUGUACUGUUAAGUUUUCUUUUUGAAAAUUUGUGAUAAUUGUAUUCAAUAAUUCGACACAAAGAUCAAAUACUCAUAAAGGGUUAGUAUAAAGUUGUAUGCACAGUAAUUGCAGAUGGUUAAUUCAUAUAUAAGAGGAUACACUGGUGACAUUGCACAAUUUGUAUCUCCACUAAUAGUCCUAAAAGACCAAAUAUAUUUCGAUGUAACAGUCACAUGCCUGAGCAAAUCAGACAUGUAAUACAACGCCCAAAAUUACAAAUACAACGACAAUCAACUCUUACAAGUAGAGACUAAAACACAAAUAAACACCCAACUCACAAAGAGUUGUUGGUUUCAGUAUUUUAAAAAGUAGGAAAAUUACCCUUAAAAUUAUAAAUUAUUACACUAUUGGCCCUUUUGUGCGUCAAAUUACAAAUGAUUAAAAAGUUGACAUAUCCAUAUGAAAAAAGAAAAAUUGACACAUCACCUAUACUAGAAGGUUAAAUCUGUCCAACAAAUAAAAGGUUAAAUAGAAGGUUAAAAUUUUUCUAUAAGUUCUUAUUUGUUGUCCAUAUGACAUGUUCAUUUAGGUUUAUCAUCCAUGUCCGCAUAAAAUGGGCUAAUUAAGUGUUAGGUAAAAAUAACAAAGGUUAAAUUUCCCUCCGCUCUCUAUUUUUCAUAGGUGUACCGCUCUUUACGGAAAUGCUCUUAAUUUGCUUCAUAACAACUCUAUAUAAAAGGCGUUGGAUGGUUAACCUUUGAAUCAAGGCAUCUUGAAUCAACAUUCAACAUCCCUCUGUCUGUGUUUUUGUUUCAUACGCGUGCACGUACACACACAAAAAUCAAGAUGGAGGGAUCCAAACGUAUGUUUUCAACUGUCUUCAUCCUCGUCCUGCUCUUCGUGGCUAUUGGUAUCUCUCUCUUUCCUCAUUUUAAUUUCAUCUUUAUAUUUGAUUAGUGAUAUAUUUCUUUCCAAUGCUGAAAGACGUUUCAAGUUUGAAUCCACCUUCUCUCAUUCAUUUUUAUCGAUGAAUCUUUGGCAGGGACGGGUCCAAUGGUUGCUGAGGGCAAGGUCGAAACAAAGGAGACGUCCAGGACUUGUGAGUCUUUGAGCACGAAAUUCAAGGGACCUUGCAUCCGAUCAAGCAACUGUGCAAAUAUUUGCGAAGAAGAAGGCUUCAAGGGAGGCAAAUGUGUUGGCUUCAGGCUGAGAUGUACGUGCACUAAGAAUUGUUAGUGAUAUAACACACUAACUUAUUUUGGUGCAUGGGAUUGAGAUGAAUGAAAAUUUUUUACCCUUUUUUUCGUUUUGUUUAAGAGAAUAAAUGACUAACCCUAAUAUAAAUUUUGGGGUUGUGUCUGUGUUUUUGUUCUUAUGCGCUAACAGUGCGUGAGUUAUUUUGUAAUCAAUAAAAUAAAAAAAUAAUAUCGUUCAUUUCUUAAUGUAAUGAUACUUUUUUUCUCUCUACACAAAUGUACUCUUUCUAGCAUUACUUUAAACUUUUUACCAAUGCGUAAUGUUGAUUAUACUAUUUGUAACUUUAGGGGCUGCUUUUGUUAGUUUUUAGAGGCCAUGAACCAACUCUCACUCACCUCAAGCCACAGAUAUGCGAAACGUAAUUGAUCCAAAUUAGUUAUAUGUACAACAAUGGAAACUUUCAUAUCCACAUCACUAAUUGACUUAAUAUGGCGCACAAAACUCUUUUUUUUUUGUUUUUUUUUUUUUGUUUUUGUGGAGAAAUUUUAGGAUUGCAUUUAUAAUUUAGUCAAAAAAAAGCCACUAGCUAUAAAGGGCCAUUACAAUAACGGAGCGGUCUAACAUCAAAAUUAAAACAAUCUGGUCCGCCUCCACUAACAAUCACUUAGGAUCGAAGAAACUCUGGCAUAGGCAUCCCAAUUAAGAUUGCAAACUCAGAAUAAUCAAACAGAGUUAAAGCUUGAAAAAAUCAAGCCAUAACAAUACAAAUAAAACUCUCACAAAGGAGAGAUGAAAAGCUCUCACAAAAGAGAGAUGAUAAUCUCUCACAAAUGAGAGGUGAAAAGCUCUCACAAAAGGAGAGCUGAAAACUACACAGACAACCCAGAGAGUUUCUGUGACUUAUUUCGAACAUAAAGAAACCGCAAAGAAGAUGGUGGUGGAGAUCCGAUGCCGAAAUGCAUGUGGCGAUCCAACGCCGAGACGCAGUCACCUGUGAUGGUUGGAGGAAAAUCAUAACAAAACGAAGACAAACAGGGAAAACCUUUUGUCUCUGAAUAUGAGGGAAGAGAAGAGAGGGAGGAAGAGAAGAGGGGAGAGAGGAGGAAGAAUAGUGGCUUCCUCCCUCGUCAAAGUGAACUUGUCAUUUUCUUAUUGGUUCUUAGUGUGUUAAAAUUUUAUAAGAAGAAAUUAGUCAUUAGAAAAUGAUAAGUGACUAUUUUGGGUUAAAGCCCUUUUUUCUUUUUCUAUUUUGGGAUUUAACUACAACGAUCCUCGAACUUAUACGAGUUCACAUUUAGUUAAUUCAGUAUAAUAAUUAAAAAAAUUGUUUGUUUUUUAAAGAUUAUUGUAUCCAAAUUAUUAGUUUUACCCCUCAGUUUUACCAAAUUUGAAAAAAUAACUAAAUUGAAACAUGCACGAGAUCUGAAGGACCAAAAUAAAACUAGAUAUAAAUUUAGGGAUCAUUGCAGUUAAAAAAACCUUUGAAUUUUACUAGCAAAAUGAAAAGCCAAAAGAAUAAUUACGAAAAAUAUAUAUAUAAAGAUUAUGCAUGUGAUAUUUCUAGUUAGGUGGUCACUGCACGUAGUGGAUUAGAUUCCACAUUGAAUAUCCAUAUCAAUUGGUAAUUAUCUUUUGUCAAGACAAUAGAAAAUGAUUUAAUUUUUACAAUAGUUCUUGCAUGCUAAUCAAUUACCAUAUCCGAAUAAAAUGACAUAAUAUAUUCUUGCUGGCGACUUAUAGUUUGCAUUCAUGUUUGUAAUGGACUCGACUCACAAAGAUUCAGAAGCUUUUUAAACCAAAAGGAAAAUGAAGAAAUAGAAGGAAAUCUUGUAUAGGAACAUGAUUGUUUUGGCAUAAAGUUUAGGUUGGAGGCUAUGAUUUCAGCAACUUCCUUUUGUUACCAACAAAUACAGAAAUACAGAAAAGGGUGGGGGAAAGUAAUUAAAGGAGGCAUUUCAAAAUAAUAGUGCUUUUAAAAUAUAUAUAUAUAUAUAUAUAUAUAUCAAGGGGCAAGUCCAUUUAAAUAAUGCUUGAAUAUGUACUGUUAAGUUUUCUUUUUGAAAAUUUGUGAUAAUUGUAUUCAAUAAUUCGACACAAAGAUCAAAUACUCAUAAAGGGUUAGUAUAAAGUUGUAUGCACAGUAAUUGCAGAUGGUUAAUUCAUAUAUAAGAGGAUACACUGGUGACAUUGCACAAUUUGUAUCUCCACUAAUAGUCCUAAAAGACCAAAUAUAUUUCGAUGUAACAGUCACAUGCCUGAGCAAAUCAGACAUGUAAUACAACGCCCAAAAUUACAAAUACAACGACAAUCAACUCUUACAAGUAGAGACUAAAACACAAAUAAACACCCAACUCACAAAGAGUUGUUGGUUUCAGUAUUUUAAAAAGUAGGAAAAUUACCCUUAAAAUUAUAAAUUAUUACACUAUUGGCCCUUUUGUGCGUCAAAUUACAAAUGAUUAAAAAGUUGACAUAUCCAUAUGAAAAAAGAAAAAUUGACACAUCACCUAUACUAGAAGGUUAAAUCUGUCCAACAAAUAAAAGGUUAAAUAGAAGGUUAAAAUUUUUCUAUAAGUUCUUAUUUGUUGUCCAUAUGACAUGUUCAUUUAGGUUUAUCAUCCAUGUCCGCAUAAAAUGGGCUAAUUAAGUGUUAGGUAAAAAUAACAAAGGUUAAAUUUCCCUCCACUCUCUAUUUUUCAUAGGUGUACCGCUCUUUACGGAAAUGCUCUUAAUUUGCUUCAUAACAACUCUAUAUAAAAGGCGUUGGAUGGUUAACCUUUGAAUCAAGGCAUCUUGAAUCAACAUUCAACAUCCCUCUGUCUGUGUUUUUGUUUCACACGCGUGCACGUACACACACAAAAAUCAAGAUGGAGGGAUCCAAACGUAUGUUUUCAACUGUCUUCAUCCUCGUCCUGCUCUUUGUGGCUAUUGGUAUCUCUCUCUUUCCUCAUUUUAAUUUCAUCUUUAUAUUUGAUUAGUGAUAUAUUUCUUUCCAAUGCUGAAAGACGUUUCAAGUUUGAAUCCACCUUCUCUCAUUCAUUUUUAUCGAUGAAUCUUUGGCAGGGACGGGUCCAAUGGUUGCUGAGGGCAAGGUCGAAACAAAGGAGACGUCCAGGACUUGUGAGUCUUUGAGCACGAAAUUCAAGGGACCUUGCAUCCGAUCAAGCAACUGUGCAAAUAUUUGCGAAGAAGAAGGCUUCAAGGGAGGCAAAUGUGUUGGCUUCAGGCUGAGAUGUACGUGCACUAAGAAUUGUUAGUGAUAUAACACACUAACUUAUUUUGGUGCAUGGGAUUGAGAUGAAUGAAAAUUUUUUACCCUUUUUUUCGUUUUGUUUAAGAGAAUAAAUGACUAACCCUAAUAUAAAUUUUGGGGUUGUGUCUGUGUUUUUGUUCUUAUGCGCUAACAGUGCGUGAGUUAUUUUGUAAUCAAUAAAAUAAAAAAAUAAUAUCGUUCAUUUCUUAAUGUAAUGAUACUUUUUUUCUCUCUACACAAAUGUACUCUUUCUAGCAUUACUUUAAACUUUUUACCAAUGCGUAAUGUUGAUUAUACUAUUUGUAACUUUAGGGGCUGCUUUUGUUAGUUUUUAGAGGCCAUGAACCAACUCUCACUCAC
Molecule: long non-coding RNA, 7018 nt
Filed under: Prunus persica (peach)
Lineage: Eukaryota; Viridiplantae; Streptophyta; Magnoliopsida; Rosales; Rosaceae
Description: long non-coding RNA (PPER_LNC007288)
Source: RNAcentral